GAUCAGGGACUCGUGAAUGAGCAGGAUGCACGGAGGCGCUGCUUCUCGAGUCCAACAAAGGACACAGCAGCAUCUGUUGGUCGGAUUUUAGGUAUGUUGUUGAUGAGAAUCCUCGCCCUAUUUAUUUUAUUGUUUCAGUAAUUUACUCGUUCCAAACUAAUUUUUCCCUAUUGCCAGCAGAUGGGAGAUGAGGAUUUGAGCCUGAUCUGAUUUCUCAUAUUUCUUUCAUGAGAAUGUUUCUAGUCUUCCAAGUAGAUUAUAUCAAACUUUCCCCAAUGCCUGCGCUAGAUCUGGCCACCUAGGCUGCAGAUGAGCAUGCAACUGCAAGUUGUGAUUACCCCCAAUUUUUUUGCUGCUGCCUUUUUAUUCGUUGGUGAGUCCUAACUUCUCAGUGAGAUUUUCAAUUUCUUCACCCUUGCAGAUUGAAAUCGAUUAGUUCCAGCAUACACUGGUAGAGAAUUGGCCUUUAGUCCCGGUUGGUAGGGUGCAUAUCUCUCAAAAAUCCAUCCGGGAUAAACCAACCGGGACAAAAGGGGGUCUUUAGUCCCGGGUCUUUUAACCGGGAGUAAAGGUCCCCCUUUAGUCCCGGUUGGUAAAAGCGACCGGGACUAAAGGGUGCCCCUUUAGUCCCGGUUGGGUUUCCCAACCGGAACUAAAUGGUUACCCUUUAGUCCCGGCUAGAUUCCAACCGGGACUAAAUGGCACCUGCAUGGCACUGCCUGGCGCCUGAAUUUUUCAUGCAUGCAUCACGUACGUAGUACCGCGGCCCUUUUGUUAACCUUUAGUAGUUGAGAUUUUUUUAGAACGAAAUCAACUAAUAUUUAAACGAAUGGGUUACUAUAUAUAUACACAAUUCUUAUACACAAUUCAACUAGCUUAGUACAAAUCGAUCAUAAUUAGCGCGUAUUAUAUAUACAAAUAAAUCAAAGUAUCUGUCUACAAUCUUCCCGUCGUGGUGUUGCUGAUCGGAGUGUCUAAUUGUCGUCCAUCGUAAUAAAAUUCUCCUUUUGGAUCUACCACCUCGUCCAUUAUGAAUCCAAUGAGACCUUCACAUAUUGCCGCUACUCUUUCUUCCUUCAAGAGUCCUUGUUGAAUAUUUAACAUCUAUAAUUUGGAAAUUUGUGAAUGUUACACGAACAAAUACAUAUAAGGAGCUAAAAAAUAAUUAACUAGUAAUAGUUUUAUUUUACGUAGUUUAAAGUUGUGCGGCGUCAUCUUCAGUCCCUUGGGUCCCAUAAAACUGUGCAUGUGCUCACAGAUGUAGUAGCCACAUAGAUUAUUCCCGGGUUCCUAUCUUAAGCACUUCAGUGCGGAAAAAAAUAAGUUAUGAAAUAUUCGUGUUAUACAAUGUAAUAAAUGUGCAGACUUCAUACGUACCGGGAAGUCUGUGUUCCAUGUAAGUUUUUCUUUGAAUGGACCUUUGUGUGUCCUUAUGAAUUGUUUCCAUGCGCUGCGGAUUAGAAUAAUGAAUGAUAUAGUGUAACAGGGAUAAAAUUUAGGAAAUAAACUUUUGCAUAGAGAUAAAGGUCUAGAAUUAUUACAAGCCUAGCAUGUCUUGCACUUCUUGGUACUCCACCGGAUCUUUCCUCGACGAAUCAAAGACAGUGACGUGACUUCUUUCAGGCUCAAUUAUAAUAAGGAUCCAGUGGAAGCUGCGUGCGUAAAAUGUUCAUGCAUAUUAGAGCUAACUAACAUGUAGAGAUAAGGAAAAAGACAUCGAAGUAGACGGUAUACACACACUUACUUGAAGUUGUAUGGAAGUAGUAUGAAAUCCUUGAAUGUUUGUUUGUGUAGGAAAUUGUAUACUUCCGCAAAGGUUUUUUCCGGCGCUAAUUGUAUCUGUUGUUGGUUAACUACAGAUGGAUCCAUGAAGCCUACAUGUAGGUACGCCUCUCGGCGGCAUGUCUGAAUUAGCAUCCUACAUGAAAUGGAAGACGAAGUUAGUACGGUGACGCACGCCAAAAUUUACAUGUAGAGAUAAACGGACACUUACAGAACCCAAGCACUGAUCAGAGAGACGUCCAGGGCAUCAUGAUGGUACACUUCGUAUAUAUUCUUGAAGUCUAGCCACAACACUUUCUCCCCUUCGCCCUGAAAAUCUAUCGGUUUUACCUUCAGGCCGAUCAUCUCCCUCGAGUCGGCGGAUGCCAUCAUGUACCAUUGAUGGAAUGCGUACAUCUUUGUUGAUAGCUUCCGUACCAAUGAAGGCUUUACUAGAGGUUUGCCUAGCUCAUAAGGCCAUCUCGGCUCAGGAGGCGGUGCAGUUGGCGUCUCAACUUGCCCUAUGCAUUCAUCAAGUCCCAAACAUGUUUCUUCCAUGAACUUCAAUACAUUUGCUUGUUGAUCCAAGGGCAUUGCUUUUACCCGUUGAGCAUCUUUUUUUGAUAAAUGGCUGAGGUUGGGGACAGGACCGCUGGAAGAUGACUUUCCUUUUCUUUUAUCCUUUUCAUCAGCCUUUACUAAAGCCCGUUCAUAGUUUGAUAAGAGUGGUAUCCUUUUCUUGGCUCCUUCUUCCAUCCUGAUAAAAAAGUUUAAAUCUCGCCGACUUACUGGCGGUGGCUCCAUCUCCCUUGCUUUUUUUUCUUCAGCUUGUUUCUUGAACCACUCACUGGCCUCUCGUUGGAUUUCUGCCCACUGUUCCGCAUGAGACAUUGCCUCCCAGCGUUCCUUACGAGUCACUUCAGGCUCCUUUGUUUUCUUCUUUCUCUGUCUUUGCUUGGGAGGCGAUGCUCGUGACUUCUUUAGUGGUGGUGCAGGUUUCUUCAAGGGGGCCGCUCUUGGUUCCAGCGACGGUGAUCGGGGAGGGGUGUUGUUAUUGUCGUCAUCGCUCCCAGCACCAGGAUGUGGUGGAGAUGGAGACCUUGAUAUAGAUGGAAGGGACGGUCCUGGAGCAGGAGAUGACGGUCUCGAGGUAUGAGGAGAAGGUCGCUGCUGGGGAUCUACGGGGAGCGGUCUUGAGCUCUGAGGAGAUGGCUCCGUGCCGGGAAUAAUGAUGUAGCGUUUUCGCCAUAGAAUGAUCCCAUGAAGCGCAUCUGCCAAUGUCUUUUCCCCGUCGCCUCCCGGGAGGUCGAGCUCUAGACCUUCAUACUGGCUAUCAACUAUUUGCUCUACGCGGACGCUAGCGUAGCCUGGUGGAAUUUCCAUGCCAUGACUGCUCUGCCCCGCCAGGGUUGCUAACGCACUCCCGUACGCUACCUGUACAUAUAGCAGAAGUAAACAAGUUGAACUCCGAUCUCGAGGCCUGGAUCAAUUAACAAGAUUGCAUAAAUAUUAUGUAUAAGUAUACCUUAAUAGUGAGGUUGCCGACCGGUGCAUGCAGCUCACAUGAGGUCCGUUGUGUGAUGGCAUCCACGGGGAACCGUUGCUCCUCCAUGGGUAACCUGGGCGUCUGCGCAUCGGGGACCCCUGUAGAAGCACAACUGCUCAAGAGGCGUUGAGAAGGGCUGGCGGUGUUAGGAUUCGGCAAUGCUCCAGAUUGGGCCAACUCCGCAACUGCGUGGGCCACCCGCCGAUUGAUUUCAUCCAUCAUUCUUUGUUCUUGUGCCUGCACUUUAGAUUCUAGCAUCUGCCGCCAGCUCUCCUCGAUCUGUUCCUUUCUUCGCUUCCGGCUUCUGUACGAGGCGCUGUUGCCUCGGAAAGCAAACUUCCACGAAACCACCCCGAACCCUCGGCAACGUCCUGGGUGCUCCGGAUUACCGAGGGCCAAUGUGAGCUCAUCAUUUUCUCGGUCCACCUUCAACCUCCCAGCCUUACAAUCUUCAAUGUUCUUCACAAGAUGUUCGGCCUUCUCACGUAUUGUGUCAUUAAAAAUCAACGUCCCAUCUUCUUGGCUUAGGGAGCCUCCAUGAGCGUAGUACCAAUUUUUUGAUCGUUCGGGCUCAUUCAAUAGUUGCAAGUACGAUUCCCCGUUCGAUCAGAUCUUGUUCCAUAUUCCUCCACUUGGGAAUUGCUGAGCCAUACCCACCUCGUCCCAGAUGAUGGUGGUAGCCCUUCUGACUAGCAUUUGUUGUGUUGGUCGUGAUCUUUUUCACACCGUCUUCACUCCUCUUAUAUUCAACAAAUGCAUCCCAGUGGUCCCUCAACUUUGGCCACGCGUUGAAGUCUGGAGUUCGGCCCUUCUUAAUGUAGUGGGUAUCCAGCAUCUUCUUGAAUGUCUGGAAUUGUGUAGCCAUCUUCUUAAGCGUCCACGCUUUGACAUCCUUCUCACUAUAUCCUUCGGGGAAUGUGAAAUGUCUCUUCACGUCUUCCCACAGCAUAUUCUUUUCUGUCUCUGGGAGGGCAUACGGAUUAGUGCUUCUGCCCUUCCAUUCUCUGAUGCUGAUAGGCACGUUGUCCCGAACGAUUGCCCCGAUCUUACUCACGUACUUCUUUGCUACUUUCUCGGGAGCAACCGGCCUGCCCUCUUCUGUCACUUCCGUGAUGACAAGCCUCCCUUCCAUCACCUUUGUACGACCUCGGGUCUUCUGCCCUUGCGUCGAUCCGGAGGGCUAACAGUUCAAGAUUCGUUAAUUAGUACGUAGUAGUAACGGUGGCGUGAAACAAUACAAGAAUCGUUAUAUAUACCUCGCCGGAACCUUCCGCCACGGCAAGGUGUUGCUGCGGCUGUUGCUCUUCAUUCCCAUCGGCGGACAUGUUGAGGAACAUGUCCGCCUGGGUGCCCUCUUCAUCCGUGUACGAUAGUGGAACGUUGUCGCCACUACCAUCACCAGCGAUUACUGCUCCAUGAUAUACCUUGCGGUCUCAUCGUCUGCCAUUUCAACUAUUGAUUGAAACAUACAUGGAAUCAUACAUGACAGUCAUAGAAAUCGUCUUACUACAAAUUUCUACAAAGUCCUACAAAGUCCGGAAUCAUACAUGUAUAUAAUGAAAUCAUAAAAUAACAUGAAUCCUACAAAGUCCGGAAUAUUUAUACAAAUUUCUACAAAUUUCUACGAAUUUCUACAAAUUUCUACGAAUUUCUACAAAUUUCUACAAAUUUCUACGAAUUUCUAGCAAUAACCACAUGCGGUGCCUAGGUUUUGACGGCGGCGGUCAGGGCGGCGGUACGGCGGAGGCGGGGACGGUUCCCCAGAACCAAGGGCGGUGCCUAGGUUGUGACGGCGGCGGUCAGGGCGGCGGUACGGCGGAGGCGGGGACGGUUCCCCGGAACCACGGGCGGUGCCUAGGUUGUGACGGCGGCGGUACGGCAGAGGCGGGGACGGUUCCCCGGAACCACGGGGCGGUGCCUAGGUUGUGACGGCGGCGGGACGGCGGAGGCGGGGACGGUUCCCCGGAACCACGGGCGGUGCCUACUAGGUUGUGACGACGGCGGUCACGGCGGCGGGACGGCGGAGGGGACACAUAUACAAAAAUCUAACUUAAAAAAAUCUAACUUAAAAAAAAUCUAACUUAAAAAUCUAACUUAAAAAUAUAACUUAAAAAUCUAACUUAACAAUCUAACUUAAAAAUAUAACUUAAUUUUCUAACUUAACAAUCUAACUUAAAAAUCUAUCAUAAAAAUAUAACUUAAUUUUCUAACUUAAAAAAAAAGACCCUCCCGGCGCCAGUGCCGGCCGGCGUGGCGGACCUCUCGCGCGCGGUCGUCGACGGUGGCCGGGGCGACGAGGUGGCCGAGACGGUGGGACGGCGGCGGCCGGGCGGCGGGACGGCGGCGGCCGGUGCGGCGAGGACGGCGGCCGAGGCGACGACGACAGAGCCAAGGCACGCGGGACGGUGGGACGGCGUAGGCGGGACGGCGACGAGGCAGCGACGAGGGGCGACGAGGGGUGACAAGGCGGUGACAAGGAUGGAGGCGGUGACGAGGCGGCCGAUGGUGACGAGGAGGGGGCCGGGCGCGACGGACGAGGAGGAUCGAGGCGGGCCGGCCGGGGCGAUGGAGGAGGAGGAUGUCUGGGCGCGGUCGGCGGCGGGACGACGACAGCCGGCGCAAUGGGGGACGACGACGGCGGCGGCCGGCGAGGGAGGCGGACGGGUGGCGACGGCGGAGCAGAACGCGCGGGACUUGGCGAAAAUUUUGCUAAGUGUAACUGGCGUGGGGGUAGAAGGGAGUAUAGUGCCUUUUAACCCCCCCUAUCCCGGUUCGUAAUGGCACCCGGGACAAAAGGGUGCAUCCGCCAGGUGGGGCUGGGAGCGUACCCUUUUAUCCCGGGUGCCACCACCAACCGGGACAAAAGGGGGGGCCUUUUAUCCCGGUUGCAGUUGGCAACCGGGAUAAAAGGGUACGUCCGGGCGGGAGACGAAAAGUACCCUUUUAUCCCGGUUGCCGUUUGCAACCGGGAUAAAAGGGGGGCCUUUUGUCCCGGUUGCUGUUGGCACCCGAGACAAAAGGUCUUUUUUCCUAGUUUUGUUCUCCCACCUAUUUUUUGGAAAUGGAUUUUAUUUUAUCUUUUCACUACAUUUCAGGAUGAAAAACAAAACCUUCACAUAUUUUGUGCCUGCAAAAAUAUAUUUAAUUAACGAGUAAAUUGACAAUAAGUAUGAAUUAAUCAUUAAUUCUAUACCAGUUCAUUUAGCCUCUAAAAUAUUUAUUUUACUGCAUCGCUGUGAUCAAGAAAUUAUUCAAUUAAAUAAUUUCAAUGCGCAGAAAAAUCCAUGUUUGUAUGUGGUUAACAUUGUUCAUGUUUAUCUAAAAAAUCUUCACCUAACAAAUUUAAGAACACAUGAAAUCAUACAUAGGGUAAAUUAAAAAUUGUAUCAAUUAAUACACAAAGGUCAUGUACAUUUAACGCAUUACAAUACAACGUUGUAAAAUUUCUUCUUCACGAAAGUUCCUUGAUCAUGAUCGCAGCGUAAGUACGGAGCCUCUUCUUUGGAUAGCAGGAUGCUUGGAUCAACUUCAACGGCGAAUGGAGGCAUGCUAUCAAACUGAUCAUAAUCAUCUGAUUGGUCUGUUUUAUCCUCGACUCCCACGAUUUUUCUUUUACCUAGAAGAACUAUGUGGCACUUUGGCUCCCAUGUCUCUUCUAGAUUCCUCUUGGGUUUGCUACACAUGUCCUUCACAUAGAACACCUGAUGCACAUCAUUGGCAAGUACGAAUGGGUCAUCACUGUAUCCAGUCUUGCUCAGAUCUACUAUUGUCAUUCCGUACUGAUCUUGGGUUACGGCAGUUAGCUUCGCCCAAUUGCAAAGAAAUAGAGGUCUGUAUUCGAGUUCCCAUAUCUCCUGUAUGAAACCAUAAUACGACUCCUUGCUAUUAUUUCUGUCCAUGGCAUCUAUGCACACACCACUAUUCUGGUUCGUGCUUUUCUGGUCCUGGGCUCUCGUGUAAAAUGUGUAACCAUUUAUCUCAUAGCCUUGGAAUUUGACGAUUGUGCUAGCAGGUCCCUUGGCUAACCAGGCAAGCUGUGGGUGAAUCUCAGAGUUACUCAUAAGUUGUUGGCGCAACCAGGAGCGAAAAGUUUCCAUGUGAUGACGAGUAAGCCAAGCAUCGGAUUUGGUCGGGUUUUUGGAAGCUACCAUCUGCCUGUGCUGCUCGAUAUACGGAGACAUAAAGGAUGACUGUUGUAGAACAGUGUAGUGUGCCUUGUCGAACAAAACUCGAUCAUCUCCUCUGUUCCAUAUCCCUUGGCGAUGCUUCCUUCUGGACGGGCACGAUUAAGAACAUAGUUUUUUAGGACUGCCAUGAACCUCUCGAAAGGCCACAUAUUGUGCAGGUAUACCGGUCCGAGAAUACCAAUCUCUUUUAUUAGGUGAACCAGUAAGUGCAUCAUAAUAUUGAAGAAGGAUGGUGGAAAUAACAACUCAAAACUGACAAGACAUUGCACCACAUCGUUUUGUAGCUCUGAUAGCUUUGAUGGAUUGAUUGACUUCUGCGAAAUCGCAUUGAGAAACGCGCAUAGCUUUACGAGCGGCAAACGGACAUUUUCUGGUAGAACACCCCUCAGUGCAACCGGAAGCAACUGGGUCAUCAACAUGUGGCAGUCAUGAGCCUUUAGAUUUGUAAACUUCUUUUGUUUCAUAUUUAUUAUUCCCUUUAUAUUCGAGGAGUACCCAGACGGGACCUUCAUACUAUUCAAGCAUUCAAACAUGCUAUCCUUCUCUUCCUUGCUGAGAGUGUAACUGGCAGGAUGUAAGUAGUGCUAUCCAUUAUCUCUCUUUUCCGGAUGUAGGUCAUCUCAUUGCCCCAUGGCUUUCAAGUCCUGUCGUGCUUCCAAUGUAUCUUUUGAGGUUCCAUAAACACCCAUGAAGCCUAGCAUGUUCACGCAGACAUUCUUCGUCAGGUGCAUCACGUCUAUUGCAUUGCGAACCUCUAGGAUUUCCCAAUAAGGUAGCUCCCAAAAUAUUGACUUUUUCUUCCACAUGGGUGCAUGUCCGUUAUCGUUGGUCGGAACAGGUUGGCUACCAAGUCCCUUUCCAAAGACUACAUUUAUAUCCUUCAUCAUCUCGAACACACGCUUUCCAUUACGGUGUGCAGGUUUUUUACGAUGGUCUGGCGCCCCUUUGAAAUGCAUCCCGCUCUUUCUCAGCUGGUGGUGAGCAGGGAGAAAUCGACGAUGACCCAUAUAGACGACCUUCUUACAAUGCUUCAACUACAUGCUGUCUGUGUCGUCUAAACAGUGGGUGCAUGCCCGAUAUCCCUUAUUUGUCUGUCCUGAAAGGUUACUCAAUGCAGGCCAAUCGUUGAUGGUUACGAACAACAAUGCUCGUAGAUUAAAGAUCUCUUGUCUAUCCUCAUCCCACACACGUACACCUUCUUCCUUCCACAGCUGUAAAAGGUCAUCGACCAACGGCCUUAGGUACACGUCAAUGUCGUUGCUGGGUUGUUUUGGGCCUUGGAUAAGCGCCGGCAUCAUAAUGAACUUCCGCUUCAUGCACAGCCAAGGAGGAAGGUUGAAUAUACAAAGGGUCACAGGCCAAGUACUAUGGCCACUACUCAACUCACCGAAUGGAUUGAAUCCAUCAGUGCUUAAACCAAACCUUAUGUUCCUUGCUUCACUUUCAAAGUCUGGGAAUGUUCUAUCAAUUGAUCUCCACUCUGCCCCAUCUGCGGGGUGUCUCAGCAUCUCAUCUUCCUUACGGUCUUCUUUGUGCUAUCGCAUCAACUUAGCAUUCGCCUUGUUCCUGAACAAGCGCUUCAAGCGUGGUAUUAUAGGGAAAUACCACAUCACCUUCGUGGGAACUCUCUUCUUGGGAGACUGCCCCUCGACAUCACCAGGAUCAUCUCGCCUGAUCUUAUACUGCAGGGCUUCGCAGACGGGACAAGCAUCCAAUUUCUCGUAUUCAUCACCAUGAUAGAGGAUACAGUCAUUAGGGCAUGCGUGUAUCUUCUGAACAUCCAAUCCGAGAGGGCAAAUAAUCUGUUUAGCUUCAUAUGUUGUGGACGGUAAUUCAUUAUUCUCGGGGAGAAUCUUCUUGACAAUGUUCAACAUCCCCUGAAAUGCCUUAUCGGACACACCAUUUUUUGCCUUCCAUUGCACAAAUUCUAGUGUCGUACCUAGUUUUUUAUGGCCCUGCUGGCAACCUGGGUACAACAAUUUUUGGUAAUCAUCUAUCAUGCGCUACAACUUUGCUGCUUCCUUCUCAGUUUCGCAAUCUCUGUAUACAUCUCGUAUCACCUGACCAAGGUCAUCAGUAGGGCCAUUUUCUGCAAACCCAUCUUCAUCAGCCUCGCCCAUUGUAUUACCUGCAAAAGGUUGGCCUGCAACCCAGUCCGGAAUGGUGUCAUCUUCCUCCUCCUCCUCGCCAUCUUCCAUUUCGACCCCUAGUUCACGGUGCUUGGUCCAAACCAAAUAGUUAGGCAUGAAACCGUAUUUAAACAAGUGGCUGUGAAUAGUCCCCCAGGAAUCCUUUGAAUACUCCUUCUUGUUAUUGCAUUGGAAGCAUGGACAACAUACGAAUCCAUUCUCUGGCUUGUUCGCUUUGGCCACUUCGAGAAAAUAAUGCAAGCCAUCAAUAAACGCCUUGCUCCGCUUGUCUGCAUUAUACAUCCAUUGCCGAUCCAUCUGCAUCAUAUUACGCAUGAAAAUGGAUUACACUUGACAAUGGAUUACGCAUGAAAAUCGAUUAAAGAUCCAAACAACAUGGUACAAUACAACAACAUGAAGAUCCAAAUACACAUAUUUAAAUUAAAGUCCCAAACAACAUGAUACAAUACAACAAGCCAUCCACUAGUUAUUAUCAAGGGGGACUUUAAGCAUCCUUGGACGGUGAAGACGAAGGUUCCGCUGACCCAACCUCAUCCUUAGGUUUAUUUGUGCCGCCUGAAACGGUAGUACUAAGUGGACGUGAAACACCCGGGACUGAGGGUGGAGCAUAACGACCAUCAAAAGGAGGUUCCUGACCCGCGGCAACAGCUUCUUCAUGAUGUUGCUGCAAAUAACGAAGCAUUGCUUUUUCCAGCGCGCUCUUUUUCUUCGGCUUAUGCUGAGGGCCAACUAUGAUUUUCCCCUUGCCGAAAUAGGAACCACGAUCGCCCCAACCAUCGCCACUUCCUCCAGUAGCAGAAGCCAUCUAUGUACAAAAAUUAUUACCUUAACACUGCAUAAGUUGUUGAACUUGAAGACCGUGAUCAUCUCGCGAGCAUGUCCUCAACUGGGCGGCACCGCACUUCGUCAUGAAAGAGGUUAGAUGCUACAGAAAAGGGGACACGGUCACGAUGUCCGUAUCCACUCUUUCGAGUAGAAUCGAACCUCCUUCUUGACAUACGUUGCUGCUCGGCGGAGAACAUCCUCGCAGAAAUGAACACGGUAUGCAAGUUCAACAAGUAUGGAUUUAAAAAACCAUAUUGAAUUUGAUAAGAUAAACCGUCUAGACAAGGUACAAUCAUUUUUAAACCACUGCAAUAAUGCAUACUAUAUAUGACCGACUUUUUUGUAUUUUGGCUCUUUUCGUGAAAAAAUCUCACAAAUAGGCCCCUGGCGAAACCAAUUCCAAAAAUUACAAAAAUGGACCCUCAUCUUGGCGCCAGGAAGGCUGGCGCCAAGGUAUAAUGUCUUGGCGCCAGCCGUCGUGGCGCCAAGGUCCCUCCGCCGCGCCUCCACCGUGAAGAAGGGGCGGUAUAUAUGGAGGAAGGCUUGGCGCCAGGGAGGCUGGCGCCGAGCCUCGGCGCCAAGAUCUGUGGCGCCAAGGCUCGGCGCCACCGUCGCUGGCGCCAAGCCUUGGCGCCAUAGAUCUUGGCACCGAGGCUCGGCGCCAGCCUCCCUGGCGCCAAGCCUUCCUCCAUAUAUACCGCCCCUUCUUCCUGCCCGAGAGUUCCUCCUCAUUAUUCUCCACUCUCUCGGGUUUUUACUCUCCCUACUUUGCCCUAGACUACGAAUCGACAUUGUAGCUUAGGAAACUUUCAUUUGAUUCAUGGAUCCUGAAGAGCAAGGUAUCCUCUCUCCGUCGUACCUUUUUUUCACAUCGAUUCGCUAUAUAUUUCUUGCAUUUUUGAACUUAGGGUUUCAUGCAAAUGUAGGGUGCCGAGGCGUGGAAAAGCUAAGAAACUAAGGUAAUCUCAACGCACGUAGUUAUGUUAUAUACUCAUUGUUGUGGAUCAAAUGAAAAAACUUUAAUUGUAGGUUUAUUCUUAAGUGCGUUUGAUUCAUAGAACAAAAUAAACAAAAUUGUAGUUAUGGCGCAAAGAAGACCGGAAAUGCGUUCGAUCCAUUGGCUCUGCCUAGUGGUGUUCCAGUGCCGAUGUGCUUUUGCGGCGAUCCUUGCAAGGUAGCCAAGUCCGAAGAACAUGCCACGUAUAGGCAGAGGUAUUGGAUGUGUUCCAACUUUGCAUUUGAACCUACACUUCGUCAGCGCCGCAUUAACAUGUUGGUAAGGAAAUGUUAUUGUCUUAUAAUUGUUGUCCAUAAUUUUUUUGUUUUAUAACAAUUGCAUUUGUUGUAGACCCCUCCACUGCUAUGUGAUUUUGAGCAGUGGAUCGACACUGAGAUCAAUCCUGAAGACAAGGAGUUUUUGGAGUAUAUGAUGCGCUGGGAUGCAGAGAGGAAGGAGGUGUACGAGAAGAGGCUCAUAGAGGAGGCUGCGGAAAAGGAGCACAAGGAAGAGGAGGAAAGGAGGCGGGUUGCUGCGAAUAGGGAGGAGAGAGAGAAGAAGCUUGAGCGGGCACGCCGAGCGAAAGCAACGGUUGAGGAGAAUCCCGAUGCCUUAAGGAAGGGAAAGUGGCCUCGUUGCACUCAGUAGCCAUAUUUAGGUUCUAGUUCUAUGGUUUAUUUAUGAACAAUAUUUUCUACUGUGAGACUUUUAUUAUGUUGUCAUGUAAUAAUGCACUUUAAGUAUAGACACGCAAUUUGUAGACGACAUAUGUUCAUUUUGCGAUGUAAUGCAUUUCGAAGUCGUAGUCUACUGAAAUAUCCGUAGAAAAUAAAAAUGGUACUUGUUAGCAAAAUUUCGGCAGAAUUUCCCCUACUUGUUGAUGCAAUCCAUACAAAAUUGCGAGAUGAAUAGUGAAUAUAAAUACAAGCAUAGAAGCAUAGAAGCAUAUGACACAAGCAUAUGACACAUUCAGAAUAGAAUCCACAAUAGUUCAGAAUGAAAGUCCAUAUAUAUACAAAUAGUCCAUAUGAUACAAAGUUCGCAAUCAGAAUCGUCACUGCCUCCUAGUCUUACCCUUACCCUUGUGACCAAGGGCGUCGGUGCCUGGAGUGUAAGGAGAACGUGGACGACGUAGUCUAGUGCCUCCUACAACCUGUGUAGGCUGAGUCAAGGGAGCCUCCUGGAGCUGAGAUGGGCCAAGCUCCUCGGCCCUCUGCUCAUCGUCGUCGUCGUCGUCGUCGUCGUCGUCGGAUGCAAUUGAUUUCGAACCUGAGGGGCCUUGGCUAGACGUACCGACACCUCCUUCUCGUACGGAUGGAAUGUGCACGUCUCGCGUCGUGGCAGUCCUGCAACCACAACGAGCAGCGGCACGGCGAAGCCGAUUUGACAAUCGCUGUAGUAGUAAAAACAAGUUACACAAAUGAAGAAUGUAACGUAUUAAUAAAGUAUUAGAAAGAAUAAUUUGAGACUUACCUCUAGGAAGCUCCGCGUCUCGGGGUCCCUAACUCGUGGACGGAAUUGCUCUAUAUCUCUAACCGAGCUUUGUAGGGUACGCCCCUGCAACAAAUGACUAAGUCACUAAAGCAACAAAUGACUAAGUCACUAAAUGACUAAAUGAUUAAGUCAGAUGAUCACUAAAUCCUUAUCUAACUAACUAAAUCUGUAAGUAACCAAACAUAGAAUAUAGAAAACUGAAGCAAUUGUCUUACCAUCCUAUCCAGGAUUGGUCCUACCUCCACCUGCCUUCCAGCACGAGUACUCUGAUCGUACACCGUGUCUUCAUCAUCGGAUGAGUGGAUAUCGGCGUAGUCAUCUUCCGUCCACGCUGCCCUCAGCCUGUGCCGCGUCGCACCUUGGUACCAACUCUGGUAUUGCCUGUACGCACUGUUUGUGUGCGGCUCGUUGUUCUCGUCCACGUUCUCCUCGAACUGGUCCCAUUCCUGAAUGUACGCGUGGUGGAACGCGGCCCACUCAGAGACCUUCCGUUUCUUCUUUCGAUCCACGCUGCACGUCACGUUACACGUUACUGUUAGCCAAAAUUUAGUUAAUAGUAUUGAAAUAUAUGAAAUAGGAAAAGACUUACUUGUGUAACUCCAUACUAGUCGAGGUCGCCUGUGGUGGCCAAAUCUGCCUCAUCCCAAAUUGACGUGCUACACGAUGUGGCAGGUGGUACUCGACAGCAUAGAAGCAAAUAAGAGGGCACACCAUCCUAUAAAUAUCAUCGUCCGUCGCGCACAUGAAGCUAAGGGGAAAAGGAAGUGGAUCGUCUCCGUCGUAAGGCUGCCAAUUUACCUGCAAAAUUUGAAUCAAAAACGUUAGUUGUUAUACUAAAAGAUUACAAAGCAUGUUUAAAAAAAAUUCACUUACACUAUGAGCAGUGAGCGCGUCUAUCUCGUUGAUGUAAUCCAGGUACGCGCGGUCCAACCUCGUAUGGCUAACCUUAACCUGAUCCCAAAUAUAUGCCCAUGUCGGCUGUCGUCUCGGCGGCUCACCUGGGAACCACGGUCGACGCGGCAUAAUCUCGGGCCGACCAACAGGAAGACGGGACCACAUCCAUAAUUGCAACAGGUAGACACAUCCACCAACUGACGAGGAGCCCGAAGUCCGACGGCACGCCUCGCACAGCUGCCGGUAUAGAAAGCACAACACAGCUGAUCCCCAGCUGUAAAAACCAGCCUGGUGCUAGUCAGUGAGGCAGUGGAUCCACAUCCAAGACGCAGUGUCACCUGUAGCGUCUGGGAAAAGAAUGCAGGCAAAGAGGUGUAGUAUCCACGCCUUGCAGUAGUGCCCAACUGUCUCAGCAUCCGCAUCCUGGGGGCACUGGCCGAAGUGUUCCCGCAGCCAUGAGAUUAGCACUCCAGAUGUGCGAGUCCCCUGCUCCUCAACCUCUCGCCCCAGGAAGGCUGCGACUCGUGCCCUUCAACCCUCUGAGAUGCACGGCCCAGUGACUGGCUGGCCCCGAAUCGACAGACCCAGCAUCUUCUGACAGUCCUGUAGGGUCACUGUCAUCUCUCCGAACGGAAGGUGAAAGCUGUGAGUCUCGGGCCGCCACCUACAUUUCGCCGGAUUAUUAUUUGAUAACAUGUAAAGACAUAACAAAAUGAAUAUGAUUAGUGGUAAUAGUACCUGUCAACCAACGCAGUUAUAGCCGCUGAAUUGAACUUGGGCAUCCCACGACGAACCUGAUACAAGAUGACAUCUAGGCCAGCCAUCUGUAGCAAAGGAGUGUAGCGGUCGUCGUACUGCAGCGCCAAAAACCCAUCAUGGGCUCUAGAACGAAGGAGCAGAAGGACCUGCAUGCAAAUAAACCGAGUUAGACAUUUCUUAGGACACAAGACGUGGACGCUUGCAAAGCCUUAAUCAUGAAUUGUAGAUUAUUACCUGCCCUGCCGCUAUGAGACGACCUCGAUGGGUCUGGUCGUACGCCUGGUCUAGAAGGUGUAAGUGCGCCAUCCUAAAAAAGGCAAAAAGAAAUAAGAUUAGUAAACAAUAAAUCAUGAAGUUAGAGAUGUAGAAACACAACCUGUAUGAAUAAAACACAUAUCAAGUAACGAAAAGAGCUACUAGUCGCACCUCACUAAUCUGCCAACGACAAGUGCGUGAAUUAUGACCCAAUCUACCACACUUGCCGCACUCGUUCUGUUCUGGAUCAGCAAGAAAUGGUGUUGCUCUACCACGCCUCGUUCUUUCGGAUACCUGAUCCACAGUCAUGUUAUGCCUCGUCCGCUUCCUUGUUCCACGUUUGUUCCAACAGUAUGCAGGAUCCGCAACAUAUUUUGGCCCAUCAUACGGAGGCCACUCUCUAGGAUCCCGGAAAGGCACGAAGCGGGGGUUCCAUGUCUGCACAAGGGUGUCUACGCUGAACUCAUGAGGUAUCAUGCUCUCGAUAUAAAAAUUGCGAUGCCUAGCUGCUGCCACCAAAUGAGAACAUACGAAGUGGUACUGCCUUGGCCUACCACAAGUGCACUUGAAAUCUCAGAGAACUACCACAUGUAUCCUCGACUCUUGGAUCUCACCGUCUGACGUUGUACCGCCCCUACGCUCGACCUGAUAAGUCCCUGAGCCGAGAUCAAAACAUUGCACCUCAUGUGUGGAAGCCCUUUCAUUUGCAAUGAUGAGAUGUCUCUUUGGUUUUUCAGCCCAUCUCUCCCCAGCAAUCUGCAACGCUUCUGCUUUUGCAUGUCUUUCAUUGAACCACGCAACAAGCCUGUAGAAGGUGAAUUCAACGAUUGCGUUCACAGGCAUACCACGUAUCCCCAAUAACAACUUAUUGAAUGACUUGGCCAUGUUACUGCACUGAAACUCGUACCUCCAACCACCGGCGUCGUGAGAUCUAGUCCACUUAUCUAAAUCUCUCAUCAAACCAGCGAGCCAUUGUCUACCUUCUGCAUUUGUUGCGGUCCUUACCUGCUCCAAUUUGCGCUGAAAGUAAUAGUCCUCAAGUUGACGUGCUGCAACUUGAAACAGAUCAAAAUUAUCCUUCACACCAUCCUUCCAAAGAAGGUUCUCCGCAAGGUGCCGAGUGCACCAACGAUGAUGCAUUCCGAAGAAGGUUCUCCGCAAGGUGCCGAGUGCACCAACGAUGAUGCAAAGGUGCAUAAUCCUCUAUCUGUUCUUGCACAGCAUGAAGUAUGCCCUGAUGCCUAUCGGAUAUGACGCCAACCUCCCUACCAGGACCAACCACAUGUAUCCGGACUAGUCUUAAGAACCACCCCCAACUGUCAUUGUUCUCCCUCUCAACCAAUGCAAAUGCCAAAGGAACCAACAUAUUGUUCGCGUCACAAGAUAUGGCUAUAAGAAGUGUGCCUCUAUAUUUGCCAAUCAAAAACGUACCAUCAAUAGAGAAAACAGGACGACAGUGCCUAAAGGCUUCCACAGACUGAGGGAAGCACCAGAACGCACGCUCGAAUAUCUGCCUCCCGUCCUUCCAAGCAUUUGGCUUUGGGAUAUACUCAUAAUGCAUGCCUGGAUUCACCGCUUUAAUUGCAUUAAAAAGCACUGGCAGCUGCUCGUACCCAGACUCCCAAUCCCCAUAAAUCAUCCUCCACGCUCGCUGCUUAGCCCUCCAAGCUUUACCAUAAGUUAUCACAUAUCCUCCAUAAAUCUCCUCAACAGUUCUUAUAAUUGUUCUCACUUUCAUGUUGGGUUGUUCCUUCAAUAUUCCCAUCAACCGCUUCGCAAUGAGGGUAGAUGUUAGCUGCGGAUGUCUCACUGUAAGCUCAUGGUCAGCACAAUUGUGUGGACCGACAACUUUUGUGAUCUUCCACUUCCCAGUGAUAUUUUGCUUUCUUGUACAAACCCUCCAUGGACACCGUUCCUUGUCACACACAACUGUGUAACGGCGCUCCGCAUAUGAAUGCAACACUUUGUACGGUCUCUUCCGUAUCACCGCAAAAGCUUGCAACCAUCUCUUCAAUGCGGGAAGGUCCUUAAAUACCCUACCCUCCUCAAUAACCAUACUAGGACCAGCUUCAGGAGCUUCUAGGAGCUCAUCAUCACGUCCUUCUGCAAACGCCUGAUCGGAAAGAGUUAGGUCGCUAAACUCAUGAACUAUCGGAUCACGACGUCCAGGGAAUAUACGCCUGAACAUCUCAAUAUCACUCUCUGUCAUCUCUCCAACAGGAUGAUCAUCAUCAGAAUCAAGAUCCACUCCCAUCUCGUAUGCAUCUUCAUCAUUCAAAAUUUCAACACUAUUAGAGCCACGCAAUCCAUCUCCAUAUUGCACUUGCGCAUCAACUAGAGGCACAUCCACAUUUUCUGGAAUAUCUCCUGCGCCAUCAAGUACAAAUAUGAGUAAAGAAUAAGUGGAUGGAACGAAUGGAUUAUCUCUCAUCAAUAGAAACCGGUGAGACACUUACUCGGAUCAUUCUGAGUGAAAAGGAACUCAUUAGGAGAGUCCGUCACAUCAUCAACAAUCCGACAACCAUGUCCAACUACUUCAUUAGGGGCAGAUUCAGCAUCGGGAAUAGUAGGUGCAACAUCCACGUCCAUAACAGGUUCUGGGACGGGAGGAUCGAAAUGUGCCCGUUGACCCAUUGGUCGGGAAAACCGACGAGGAUUUCGAUCAACUCCCACCGGACGAACAACCACUUCAACACUUGGGGAAUGACCAUUCAUAACCGUCCUCACAUAUUUCUCCCACUGGCCUGCACACCAAAUUGGGACCAUCUUCCUUUGAAUGUUGAGAGGGGAACCUAGGUGAAGUAUGCCCUCGACUGUGAUUUCAUCAUUUUCAUGACAAUGUAACUCCUCCCGAGCCCUUGCAACCAACUCACUAAAAGAUGGUUUCUCAUCGAAUAUGACAACCUCGCACUGCAUGCCAACAAACUUAACACAUCCAUAUUCAUCCCUUUCCACAGUGCCUCCGUAAUAUAUGCUCACUAUGUUCUCCAUCUAGUAUAUCAAUAUAACGACGCACAAUUCAUUUAGUCCAUAAUAAAUUAAACAUUCUAAGUACAAGAUCUCUAGUAUGAAAUAAGAUAGUAUCAAUUGCCUACUAACUACCAAAUACAUCUAACUAACUGUGUCAUACAACUAACUAACUAUGCAACCUAAUAGUUAGUUAGGUACGUACCUAUACAACUACUUAACACAUAACUAGUUUACUAUGUAACUAACUGUACAUCUAACUACGUAAAGAAAAUUGGACAUGCAUCUAGUUAAAUAGUGUCAUGAGUAUCCUCUAAUUUUUCUAUCAUUGCAAUUCAUAAAGAUAAAUUUUCAUAUCUAACAAUUCUACCUACCUAUUCUAAUUUACGUAUCUAACUAUUUCAUCUACCAAUUCUACCUACCUAUCAAAAUUCUACCUAACAAUAUAAUUCUAAUUCAUCUAUCUAACUAUUUUAUCUAGUUAAAUAUAACUCUUCUUAGAGUUUUACCUCACCGGUGAACACCGGCGGCAAGGCGUGGGGGCGGGGGACCGGUCGUGGAUGACGCGGGCGACUGGCCGUGGGCCAUCGGCAGGGGCGGUCGCGGGCAAUGGCGGGCGCGGGGCGGCCUUGGGAGCCCGGGCGGGGGGCGCCGGGCCGGGUGGCUCCGGGCGCCGGCGGCCGCGGGCAAGGUCCCACCGGACGGGGGCAGGGGGGGCGCGGCCGCGGGGGCCCGGCCACGCGGGGGCACUGGCCGGGGCGGCUCCGGCCGCCGGCGGCCUUCGGCCGGCAACGGCCGCGGGGCCUUCAGGCGGGCGGGUGCCGGGCGGCCUUCGGCCGGGCGCGGCCGCGGGGCCUUCGGGCGGGCGGUCACUGGACCGGGGGGGCAGGGGGUGCGGCCGCGGGGAGCUUGGGGCCGGACGCGGGCGCGGGGACCUUCGGCCGAGCGGCCGCCGGGCGACGGGGCGCGCGUCUUCGGGCGGGCAGGCGGGCGCCAGGUGACGGGGCACGCGCCUUCGGGCGGGCGGGCGCCGGGCGAGGGCGGCGGCGACGGACUCCGAGGCGGCGGCGGCGGUGGAGGCGGUGGCGGCGGUAUCCGAGAGCGGCGGCGGCGCGAUUCAAAACGAGGACAAUGCAAACGGUCGCGCAAAAGGAAAGGGACCCCGGUACUUUGUUAAGAGGCUUGGCGCCAGGGAGGCUGGCGCCAAGAUCUAUGGCGCCAAGCCUCGGUGCCACGUCAGGGCCCUGGCGCGCCACAUCGGAGGCGCGAGUGGGGGACCUUGGCGCCAGGACGGCUGGCGCCAAGAUGUUAUACCUUGGUGCCAGCUGGCGCCAAGAUGAGGGUCCAUUUUCGGAAUUGGUUUCGCCAGGGGCCUAUUUGUGAGAUUUUUUCGCGAAAAGGGCCAAAAUACACAAAAGUCGGCUAUAUAUGACACAUCAAUCUCCCUCACAUUCUAGCUCAAAAUACCUCUCCAUUUUUCUACUUCAUCAUCACAUUCUAGCAAAUAAUCUUUCCAUCUCCAAAGCAUAAAUCAAAGCAUAACACGAGGAUGAAGUAGCAAACCUUCACAACACUUGUGUUGGCCGAGUGAAAUUCCCACGAAAAUGAGGGAAAAAACUUCGGGCAGCACCUCCCUUGCUUCGGCACCACCAGAGAGUAGGUGAAGCUCAGCUCUCUCUGUCAAUGUGCUGGACUGGCUCGGGCUGGAGGAGGAAGAAAGUCCUCUGUCUUGGCCGUAUAUAAUGGGGAUGAGUUUUUAUCCCGGUUAAAAACUCCAACCGAGACAAAAAGGAACACCUUUUGUCCCGGUUGAAUGGUUAGUCCCGGUUGGAAGCUCCAACUGGGACAAAAGGGACACCCUUUUAUCCCGGUUGGAAGCUCCAACCGAGACUAAACUUUUUAUCCCGGUUGGAACCUCCAACCGGGAUAAAAGGGUUCACCACCCUUUUAUCCCGGUUGGAGCCUCCAACCGGGAUAAAAGGGUGCCGCCACCGACAGCUCUCCACUAGCCGUUGCAACCGGGACUAAAGGGGGGCCUUUAGUCCCGGUUGCAAUUACCAACCGGGACUAACUCUCCCCUCCAUUUUUGCCUACCGUGGCGCACCCCCUUUUGUCCCGGGCCAACUUUAAACCGGGACAAAAGGGGACGCAUCGAAAGCCAAUUCUCUACUAGUGAUAUCUGCUGCAUCUCAAUACGAGCAAAGAGAUAUCUGUCAGUUUUGUUUCUAUAUUUUCCCAAUGGAAAUCACAAUCAUUUGAUUCCUGAUUCUAUCCACGUAGUGUAAUUGGGAAAAUUCCAUCAUGUAAUGUGGUUGAUUGUGAACCAGUGGAGCUAUUUUUUUUACCUGGUAACUCAAUUCUCACUUUAUAAAUCCCAGGCCAUAUUUUACUAGAAUAAAAAAUUUGAUAUGUCAAUUUUUCUUGCUGUUGUUACUGUAACUCUAUUAGCUUCGUAGCUAGCACUAGCAUAUUGUAAUUUUGCUGAUAAAUGACCUGCCGCUGUACUGGUGAAGGUUCAGUACCAUUCUGUUUGUUCGUUAACAUAUGCAAAGCUAGUUCAUUCCUUCUAAUUUUAUCUCACUACAAAUGCAGGAAAAGGUACCUCGGUUCGGGAAGCUUUCCAACCCACCAAACAUGAUCAGGAAGCUUUCUGACAGACUAGGCACACAAAGCGCGAUCUUGAAGUUUAUAGCAGAUGAUUUGUGUCAAAAACUUCUGUCCCA
RNAcentral lists this long non-coding RNA (20558 nucleotides) under Setaria italica (foxtail millet). RNAcentral describes it as "long non-coding RNA (SITA_LNC001036)". The record is from RNAcentral. Lineage: Eukaryota; Viridiplantae; Streptophyta; Magnoliopsida; Poales; Poaceae.